UGGGGAAUAUUGCACAAUGGGCGAAAGCCUGAUGCAGCAACGCCGCGUGAGGGAUGACGGCCUUCGGGUUGUAAACCUCUUUUAGUAGGGAAGAAGCGAAAGUGACGGUACCUGCAGAAAAAGCACCGGCUAACUACGUG
Molecule: ribosomal RNA, 140 nt
Filed under: uncultured bacterium
Lineage: Bacteria
Description: partial 16S ribosomal RNA
Rfam family: Bacterial small subunit ribosomal RNA
Source: RNAcentral